GUAUUAACUUUUUUGAUUUGUAAUGACAACAUUUGUUACAAGCGUAAAAAAAGGGUACGGUUCACAAAGUGUGUAAAUGAAGAUUACUGCCGAGCUCGAGGGCUGCGACAAAAUUCAAUAAUGAUCCUUCCGCAGGUUCACCUACGGAAA
RNAcentral lists this unclassified non-coding RNA (150 nucleotides) under uncultured fungus. Its description in RNAcentral is "sequence contains ITS1". Lineage: Eukaryota; Fungi. The record is from RNAcentral.